Molecule: long non-coding RNA, 271 nt
Filed under: Ananas comosus (pineapple)
Lineage: Eukaryota; Viridiplantae; Streptophyta; Magnoliopsida; Poales; Bromeliaceae
Description: long non-coding RNA (ACOM_LNC015791)
Source: RNAcentral
UAGAAAAUUGUUCAAAAAAAUAAUUAGGUUAGAUAUGCACCGUAUAUGUUACGAAAAAUUCUAAAAUGCAACGGGUAUAUUAGUGACGUGACGUAACAAACCAAUCAAAUUAAUUCUUUUAAGAAUAUAUGUCCCAUCAUGAUUGUAAAAAAGUAUUUUUAUUGUACUUUUGUUUAAAAAGAAGGAAUAUGAUUGGCUUGUUAUUGAUGACGUGGUGCAAGUGUGACAGUGUAGAAUUCCUCAUAUUUUGCUAGUAUUUUGAUCGUCACUU